Molecule: ribosomal RNA, 615 nt
Filed under: Hepatozoon canis
Lineage: Eukaryota; Apicomplexa; Hepatozoidae
Description: bacterial SSU rRNA
Rfam family: Eukaryotic small subunit ribosomal RNA
Source: RNAcentral
UUUAUUAGAUAUAAAGCCAAUGCAUGCUUUUACAGUAUGGAAAUUGGUGAUUUAUAAUAACUUGGCAAAUCGCAAAGUGAAAACAGGCGAUAAAUCAUUCAAGUUUCUGACCUAUCAGCUUUCGACGGUAUGGUAUUGGCUUACCGUGGCAGUGACGGUUAACGGGGGAUUAGGGUUCGAUUCCGGAGAGGGAGCCUGAGAAACGGCUACCACAUCUAAGGAAGGCAGCAGGCGCGCAAAUUACCCAAUUCUAACAGUUUGAGAGAGGUAGUAACAAGAAAUAACAAUACAAGGCAAUUAAAAUGCUUUGUAAUUGGAAUGAUAGAAAUUUAAACCCUUUUUAAAGUAUCAAUUGGAGGGCAAGUCUGGUGCCAGCAGCCGCGGUAAUUCCAGCUCCAAUAGCGUAUAUUAAAAUUGUUGCAGUUAAAAAGCUCGUAGUUGAAGUUCUGCUAAAAGUAACCGGUCUGCUUUUAAUAAAAGUGGUAUCUUGGUGUGUAUUUAGCAAUGAUGUCCUUUGAAGUGUUUUUUACUUUAUUGUAAUAAAGCAUAUUCAGGACUUUUACUUUGAGAAAAUUAGAGUGUUUCUAGCAGGCCGACGCUUUGAAUACUGCACUG